Molecule: long non-coding RNA, 1155 nt
Organism: Heterocephalus glaber (naked mole-rat)
Lineage: Eukaryota; Metazoa; Chordata; Mammalia; Rodentia; Bathyergidae
Source: Ensembl
AGGGCAGGGAGUGGGAAAGUGAAAAGCUACUAAAAUCCAGUCCUGGCCUCUCUUCCCUCCAGCGUAAAAGCCUCCCUGGGGUGCUUGGGCAAUACAACAGGCUCCGACUAGACCAUCCAUUGUCCCACAGCCCUUUUGAUCUUUUCCCCCCUCAGAGGCCAAGGCACCGUGAGCUACCUUGCAAUUAUUUCCCAAGUACUUUAACUGUGUUCCUUGGAUCCUCUCUAAAACACAAGAUCCCUAAAGGCAGCGACACACUUCACACCCCCAAGGAGCACAGGCGAUGUCGGGGUGAUUCCAGGCUGCUCUGUACUUUCUUGCUGAAUGAGUGGACGGGCUAGAGAAGAAACGGCAGAAGAGAAAGACAACCAGGUGCCCUGUCACUGCCUAUCACUGCCUGCCCUGCAGACUUCCAGCCCUUAGGAAGCUCACUCCUGAAACAAGUCCCUACAAGGUCAGUGAUUCACGCAGAUGCCCCUGAAAUCACUUCCUGGGCUCCACUGUCAUCAGACACAACAGGAGGUUGCUCACGGAGAAGUGUGAAAAGUGCCUGGAGACCUUGCUACUUGUUUCUCUGCAGAGGAGGACUCCAGACACUUAUUCUCCUAGCAUCCCACAGAUGCUGCUUGUCAGAGAUGAAGGCAGGACACAGGCAUUUGGUUGCAGCUCUUAAGGUUGUGCUCCCUUGCACCCGUGACUCUCUUUUCCCAAACCUGACACCUACUCACGGCCCAGGUACAACUCCCCUCAGCUGCCAAGACAUCAUCACUUCAUGUGACUCACUCACUGACAAUGAAUGACCAGCAAGAGUUUUAGAAUCUGGGUUGAAGAUGAACUUCAAAGUCGCUUCAUAUAACGCCUGAGUCUCUUAGCAGCAGCCCCGCCAAGUGGUCAUCCAGCCAACACAAAAACAUCUCCAGGAACUAGGAGCUCAAGACCUUAAGUCUCAGCUCAACAUAUUUAUACAGCCUCUUUUUACUUUUUGUAGCAGAACGUUGCACUUCAACCAAAUGCAGACUCUUCGGGUAUCACGCACACCUGUGCCUUCUCACUCAAUGUAUCUGCUUCAAGCAACAGACCUGGACUCUGGUUAUCUUAAGCAAAUAAGAAAUGUACUGGGCAGAACAGAGGAAAACAGUAACAAGCUCAGCCCCG